RNAcentral lists this ribosomal RNA (387 nucleotides) under uncultured bacterium. RNAcentral's name for it is "bacterial SSU rRNA". It matches the Rfam family "Archaeal small subunit ribosomal RNA", at positions 339 to 727 of the family's 1478-position model. The record is from RNAcentral.
UCACGAAACCUUUACAAUGCACGAAAGUGUGAUAGGGGGAUUCCAAGUGCUUUGCCAACGGCAAGGCUUUUGCCAAGUGUAAGGAGCUUGGCGAAUAAGUGGUGGGCAAGACCGGUGCCAGCCGCCGCGGUAACACCGGCGCCACAAGUGGUGAUCGUAUUUAUUGGGUCUAAAGCGUCCGUAGCCGGUUUGGUAAAUUCUUUGUGAAAUUGUUGAGCUUAACUUAACAACGUGCAAGGAACACUGCCAAACUUGAGACCGGGAGGGGGUAGAGGUAUUCCAUGGGGAGCGGUAAAAUGCAAUAAUCCUUGGAAGACCACCAGUGGCGUAGGCUUCUAUCCAGAACGGGUCUGACGGUGAGGGACGAAGGCUAGGGGAGCAAAAUGG